RNAcentral lists this transfer RNA (83 nucleotides) under Burkholderia pseudomultivorans. RNAcentral's name for it is "tRNA-Val". The record is from RNAcentral. Lineage: Bacteria; Pseudomonadati; Pseudomonadota; Betaproteobacteria; Burkholderiales; Burkholderiaceae.
UGGCGGAGAAGCCCGCCGCUAUUGGGUCUAGCACUGCCUUCACACGGCAGGGGUCACUGGUUCGAUCCCAGUACCGCCCACCA